Molecule: ribosomal RNA, 1476 nt
Filed under: uncultured bacterium
Lineage: Bacteria
Description: bacterial SSU rRNA
Rfam family: Bacterial small subunit ribosomal RNA
Source: RNAcentral
AGAGUUUGAUCCUGGCUCAGGAUGAACGCUGGCGGCGUGCUUAACACAUGCAAGUCGAGCGAGAAGGCUUUGAACAGAGAUUCGUCAAAGGGACGAGCCGGACAGCGGCGGACGGGUGAGUAACGCGUAGGUAACCUACCUUAAGCUGAGGGAUAGCCUAGGGAAACUUGGGAUAAUACCACAUAAUGCGUUGAAGUCACAUGGCUUUAACGCCAAAGAUUUAUCGGCAUAAGAUGGACCUGCGUCUGAUUAGCCAGUUGGUGGGGUAACGGCCUACCAAAGCGACGAUCAGUAGCCGACCUGAGAGGGUGAUCGGCCACAUUGGAACUGAGACACGGUCCAAACUCCUACGGGAGGCAGCAGUGGGGAAUAUUGCACAAUGGGCGCAAGCCUGAUGCAGCAACGCCGCGUGAGCGAAGAAGGUCUUCGGAUUGUAAAGCUCUGUCCUUGGGGACGAAGAAGUGACGGUACCCGAGGAGGAAGCCCCGGCUAACUACGUGCCAGCAGCCGCGGUAAUACGUAGGGGGCGAGCGUUAUCCGGAAUUAUUGGGCGUAAAGAGUACGUAGGUGGUUUGUUAAGCGCAAGGUGAAAGCCCGGGGCUCAACCCCGGCGAGCCUUGUGAACUGGCAGACUUGAGUGCAGGAGGGGAAAGUGGAAUUCCUAGUGUAGCGGUGAAAUGCGUAGAUAUUAGGAGGAACACCAGUGGCGAAGGCGACUUUCUGGACUGUAACUGACACUGAGGUACGAAAGCGUGGGGAGCAAACAGGAUUAGAUACCCUGGUAGUCCACGCCGUAAACGAUGAGCACUAGGUGUUGGCGUAGAAAUACGUCGGCGCCGAAGUUAACGCAUUAAGUGCUCCGCCUGGGGAGUACGCACGCAAGUGUGAAACUCAAAGGAAUUGACGGGGACCCGCACAAGCAGCGGAGCAUGUGGUUUAAUUCGAAGCAACGCGAAGAACCUUACCAGGGCUUGACAUCCCUCUGACCGGCUGGGUAAAACCGGCCUUCUCUUCGGAGCAGAGGUGACAGGUGGUGCAUGGUUGUCGUCAGCUCGUGUCGUGAGAUGUUGGGUUAAGUCCCGCAACGAGCGCAACCCUUGCCUUUAGUUGCCAGCACGUUAAGGUGGGCACUCUAGAGGGACUGCCGGGGACAACUCGGAGGAAGGUGGGGAUGACGUCAAAUCAUCAUGCCCCUUAUGUUCUGGGCUACACACGUGCUACAAUGGUCGGUACAGAGAGAGGCAAGGCAGUGAUGCGGAGCAAAACUCUAAAGCCGAUCCCAGUUCGGACUGCAGGCUGAAACUCGCCUGCACGAAGUCGGAGUUGCUAGUAAUCGCGAAUCAGAACGUCGCGGUGAAUGCGUUCCCGGGUCUUGUACACACCGCCCGUCACACCAUGGAAGUUGGGGGCGCCCGAAGUUGGAUCUAGGUUUACCUAAGGCGAAACCAAUGACUGGGGUGAAGUCGUAACAAGGUA